Long non-coding RNA from Cyprinus carpio (common carp), 1058 nucleotides. The record is from Ensembl. Lineage: Eukaryota; Metazoa; Chordata; Actinopteri; Cypriniformes; Cyprinidae.
AUGGCUCUCAAUCUUAACGUCGACGAGGCUCGAAGCAGCGAAGAUAACACAACACCUGUUGACGAUGCUCGUUGUCUUUCAAAUGGUGACGAGAAUACAGCUCAAAGUCAGCUUGUUACGCCAUCAGGUGUCCCGUCGUCGUGUGCACCUGAUAAAUCAGCGGCUCCGGAUAACCUCAAACCGGUGGUAUCAGUACCUUUGAGUGGCAGUAACAGUGGGUCUGAACCGGUGACGCCGGGGGAUUCACUCCAGGCUAUAACAACCCAGAGUCUUGAGCCCAAGUCCAGUGGAUGCAACACGUCUGCCUUGAGAUGUGGGGAAAAGCGGGAGAGGGAAUCAGACGACCCCUCUGAAGUUCCUGUGAAACGCCGCUUGAGACCAUCAGAGGAUAACGGGAAAGAAUGUUCACCAGAUUACGACCAGAGAUGUGCGGAGCUAUGGAUCGAUGGUGAAAUGGCUGCUUGUGAGGCUUAUGAAUUAUCAAAGUCCAGCAGCGACACCCAGCGCCGACAUGUUGUUCCACAACACGACAAUAACAGUUCUGUCAGUCGGCCUCCCACACAGAAGGACUUUGCACGUGCUGUUCGAGCCGAAGUGGCAGCCUGUUUUCAACCCCUCACAAAGUUGAUUAGUUUGAGUAUUGAGUGGAGCAGAACUGAUUUCGCUGAGGUGAUAAGUAGACUUCGUGCACUGCAGAGGGAUACCACAGAGUUGGGAAGUGAAAUCCGUAAUAUGCGAGCAGAUAAAAGACAGGCGUUAGAUGAAAUCUCUCUUAUGGAAGAAAGAAUGAGCGUCAUUCAAAGGUGUGUGUUAGAGACGCACCAAAUUAUGAAUACUACUAGAAAAUGAUGGGUCUGUUUAUCAUAGCAUACUGAUUUUGGUUCAACCCUAUUUCUGCUAAACUUUUCUUCUUUUUUUAUAUAAUUGUAUUAACGAGUGAUUAUAAUUUUUUUUUUUUUUUAAUGAUGUGCAUGCUUGUUUAUUACAUAACUUUUGUGUGUUAUUUUAAUUUUUUUUUUUUUAAAUAAAUUGUUUCAAAAUGGCCCUAAAAGAUGUCA